RNAcentral lists this ribosomal RNA (594 nucleotides) under Triticum aestivum (bread wheat). Its description in RNAcentral is "partial small subunit ribosomal RNA". The record is from RNAcentral. Lineage: Eukaryota; Viridiplantae; Streptophyta; Magnoliopsida; Poales; Poaceae.
AUGAGCUUUGACGGCCGUCGCGAGGAGCUCACGUCGUCGAGGAGGGUGGCGGCCAAGGACGUGCCCGGCGACAUCGACGCCUUCAGACGGGCCGCCAAGAACACCAUCGAUGCCUUUGCAUGGGCGGAGCUGCAAUAUGGAUCAAUUGGUUGGUCGGUCGGGGCUACUCUGGGAUAUGCGCAGGCUGCUAAGGAUAAGCGAGUCAUUUCCCUCAUUGGAGAUGGCAGCUUUCAGGUGACGUCACAAGAAGUGUCGACGAUGCUCCGGUGGGGACAGAACAACAUCAUCUUCCUCAUAAACAACGGGGGUUACACCAUCGAGGUGAAGAUCCACGACGGUCCUUACAAUGUCAUCAAGAAUUGGAACUACACCGGCUUGGUGAAAGCAUUCCAUAAUGGCGAGGGAAAAUGCUGUACUGCAAAGGUUCAAACGGAGGAGGAACUGGAGGAGGCAAUUGAGGCAUCCCUAGGACCUCACAAGGACAGCCAGUGCUUUAUAGAGGUAAUUGUGCACAAGGAUGACACUAGUAAGGAGCUUCUUGUGUGGGGAGCUAGGCUUUUCGCCGCAAAUAACCGCCCGCCGAAUCCUCAGUGA